Molecule: ribosomal RNA, 259 nt
Filed under: uncultured bacterium
Lineage: Bacteria
Description: partial 16S ribosomal RNA
Rfam family: Bacterial small subunit ribosomal RNA
Source: RNAcentral
AGCGAACGCUGGCGGCAGGCUUAACACAUGCAAGUCGAGCGGGCGUAGCAAUACGUCAGCGGCAGACGGGUGAGUAACGCGUGGGAACAUACCUUUUGGUUCGGAACAACACAGGGAAACUUGUGCUAAUACCGGAUAAGCCCUUACGGGGAAAGAUUUAUCGCCGAAAGAUUGGCCCGCGUCUGAUUAGCUAGUUGGUGAGGUAAUGGCUCACCAAGGCGACGAUCAGUAGCUGGUCUGAGAGAUGAUCAGCCACAUU